This 372-nucleotide ribosomal RNA is filed under the name uncultured organism. RNAcentral's name for it is "bacterial SSU rRNA". It matches the Rfam family "Bacterial small subunit ribosomal RNA", at positions 526 to 896 of the family's 1533-position model. The record is from RNAcentral.
CAGAGACUGCAAGCGUUAUUCGGAUUCACUGGGCGUAAAGGGUGCGCAGGCGGUUGGGUGUGUCAGAUGUGAAAUCCCGAGGCUCAACCUCGGAACUGCGUCUGAAACUACUCGACUAGAGUACUGGAGAGGGUAACGGAAUUCACGGUGUAGCAGUGAAAUGCGUAGAUAUCGUGAGGAACACCAGAGGCGAAGGCGGUUACCUGGACAGUUACUGACGCUCAGGCACGAAAGCAUGGGGAGCAAAAGGGAUUAGAUACCCCUGUAGUCCAUGCCCUAAACGGUGCACACUAGGUCUUAGCGGAUUCGACCCCACUAGGGCCCAAGCUAACGCGUUAAGUGUGCCGCCUGAGGACUACGGUCGCAAGACUA